CGCGUAGGCGGUGCUCUAAGUCGGAUGUGAAAACUCUGGGCUCAACCCAGAGCCUGCGGGAUCCGAAACUGGAGUGCUAGAGUUCUGGAGGGGGUAGCGGAAUUCCUGGUGUAGCGGUGAAAUGCGUAGAUAUCAGGAGGAACACCGGUGGCGAAGGCGGCUACCUGGACAGAAACUGACGCUGAGGCGCGAAAGCUAGGGGAGCAAACA
Molecule: ribosomal RNA, 210 nt
Filed under: uncultured bacterium
Lineage: Bacteria
Description: partial 16S ribosomal RNA
Rfam family: Bacterial small subunit ribosomal RNA
Source: RNAcentral